Molecule: long non-coding RNA, 854 nt
Filed under: Homo sapiens (human)
Lineage: Eukaryota; Metazoa; Chordata; Mammalia; Primates; Hominidae
Description: HSALNT0208747
Source: RNAcentral
AAACUUCAACUACAUGACUCAAGAAAAGGACAGAGGAACUGCGCAGCAAUGUUCUCCCAGCAGCUUGACGUCAUUCUGCAUUGGUUGGAGUGAGAUUGGACAGAGCGUGGCUGAAGCUGACAGGAAAGAGAUUAUGCAGGACUGACCAAAAUUCACAACGAGAAGGGGGUUGCCUACUACAAUGGGAAUUUCUCCAGACAAGUGGUGAAACUUUGGAUUUGGAACUGACAUUUUAUGUCAAUAAGCAGGUCUAAGGAGAACUUCCUUGGGAAGCAACCAAGAAUUGUCUUGAGACAAUAACAUUCCAGAAUUAGGUUUUGGGAGAGAGUGUCAAAAUCUCAUUCUAAUGGCUGAACAAUUUUAUCUGGGAAGAGAUGUGGCCAACUUUCUAGGGCUGACUUUGAUCCAGUAGAACAUGUCUUUUACAAGCAUUUACUUUACCAACUGGGAGCUCAGUACCCUCCCCUGUGAAAAACACCCAGGCAAGUGGGAUUCCAUUCAGCUUGGCUCCUAAAAAGAUCCUUAUUGGUGCUUGUGCCUGUACUACUAAGAGAGUUGUGGAAACCUUGGAAUGUGCCCAGAGUAGAGCAAUGGAAAUGAUUGGGAAAGAGGAUCUAUGAGAAAAGGCUCAAAGAAUUGAUAUGGGUGUAGAAAUAAAAUUGUGUGGAAUUACAGAUAAACUAUUUCAGGAGUAUGAAGUUAAACAAACAAGAGAAGAUGAAGGAGGAAAAGAAGAAGAUGGAGGAGGACAAAGUUUUCAGAAGUGCUUAUUAGAGCUAUUACAUGCCAAAUAUCUACUCUGUGGGAAAAGCAAAUUUCACAUUUUUAUCAACUCUGUAUUCACACAUCUGAUC